GAUGAAGAACGUAGCGAAAUGCGAUAAGUAAUGUGAAUUGCAGAAUUCAGUGAAUCAUCGAAUCUUUGAACGCACAUUGCGCCCGCCAGUAUUCUGGCGAGCAUGCCUGUUCGAGCGUCAUUUCAACCAUCAAGCCCCAGGCUUGUGUUGGAGCCCUGCGGCUGCCGCAGCCUCCCAAAACCAGUGGCGGGCUCGCUAUCACACCGAGUGCAGUAGUUUACUCUUCGCUCAGGGCGUGUGGCGGGUGCUAGCCGUGAAACCCCCAACUUCUCAAGGUUGACCUCGGAUCAGGUAGGAAUACCCGCUGAACUUAAGCAUAUCAAUAAGGGAGGA
Molecule: unclassified non-coding RNA, 333 nt
Filed under: soil metagenome
Description: partial contains 5.8S ribosomal RNA, internal transcribed spacer 2, and large subunit ribosomal RNA
Rfam family: 5.8S ribosomal RNA (bases 1-120)
Source: RNAcentral